GCGCAGGUGGAGGAGGCGCCCAGGGCGGCAGGUGCUGGGGCGCUCACCUGGGGGACAGCGGUGACGAAAACGCCAGUGUUUUAGAGGCAAACGAGGGAUCUGGGAUACGACAUUGACAGGUUAGAGAGUUAGCACUAAUAACGUUAGUCAUAUUAGAGAGUUAUGUGCUAGAGAGAAGUUUGGGGCGUGGGAACUUACGGAGCUCGCCAAACGCAGACCUGCGCUGGUGUUGCCUCAGCUAAAAAUCUGUGUAUUGAGCUGCUUGCCACUGCAAAGAUUAAAUAAAGUCCAAGCUGUUCCGCAUGCCCUUCAAAGCCCUUCGCAAUAGGGCAGGAACUAGGAGGACUCUGUGCCAAAUUAAUGGGGGCCUCAAAAAACUCAGUCAUCAAGAUCGAUAAUAUUUUAACAGUUUUUUUAAAAAAAUCCAAAUCCAUGCCAUAAACUCCUGACUCACUCAUGUCAUUCUAAUCCCAGCCCUGGUUCCAAUAAAACUUUUUUUUUUUUUUUUUUUUUAAAAAAAACAGGUAAGCUGCCUGUGGGCUAUAGUGUGCGAUUUGAGCAUCGCGGCUGUGACCUAUCGGGGGAUGGGGACCUCGGCUGCCUACAGAGGCCAAACCGAGCCUUAAACCGGUGUCGCAGGCCGAGUGUCCUGGGAACGGUUGCCUACCCCAGAGCCUUCUCCCAGCUCCAUCCAAGUAUUGCCAGAAAUCGGAUUUAGGGAUAAAUAUCUUGAUUUUUAAAUACAGAAUUGGGAACACAUCUCAAAAGCCAAACUGAUCCCACGGUUAGUCUAGAUUCAGCCUGCAGGUCGCCCGAUUGUAGUGGCUGAACUAUGCGGUUUCUUAAAUAUGCCCUUCUGUACUUAUCACAGUGUAUUUAGUUUAUGUGCUCCUCCAAUAAAUUGCGAGUUUAUGAGUGGCUCUAUAUUCCUCCGACAGGGACUAUUCCAGAACUUUGAACAUGAUAUUCACAUUUUUCAAAGUCUGGGAAACUCAAUAAUAGAACUGAAAUUAUGGUUCUUCAGCUAAAUGACGAUCUGCAGAGAAGCAAGGUACUAAAGGGCAAGGUGCCUGCAUUUACUCCCUGGACACUCUGUCCCCAAGUUAUCAGGAACAUUGUGUUGCUAAAUCUAUGAGACAUUUUUCAGUCCUAGCCGUACUUGAUUAUUUUGUAGCUAUUUGAUAAUGUUGAACGCUUCUGUAACAUUGAAACUCUCUUGCGCCUUGGAUUUCACAAAUCUGUCCCGCUACCGCCGCCACCCUGGGUGUUUGUUCCUCUUCAUUUGCCUUUCUGUGUAUAGGGGAGGGGAUUUUAUUUCGGAAAAUUUCAAACCUACAGAAAAGUUGAAACAAAAUCAUAGACUCACGUGUACACUUCAACUAGAUUCACCAAUUGUUAACAUUUUGCCAAUUUACUAUAUAUUUUGUAUUUAUAUAUGCACGCAGGUAUUUUUUUUCCAGCAGUUUGAAAAUAAGCUGCAAACUUCAUGACACUUAACCCCACCACACCUCGACAUGUAUCACCCCAAAACAAGAACAUUCCCCCACAUAACUAUACACAAGACCAUAUGUCACAGGCUUGGUUCCCCAGGAAGUCAACUCUGAAAUAGAGAUGAGCCUGCAGAAAGUUCAUUGAGGGAUCCUCCUGGGACUUGGGGGAAGGAGUGAAAGCCAGGGUGCAGUGAAUUCCUUGGCAAGAAAGCCUCAGCCAAGCCAAUGCCAUAGUGUGCAGAAGCUGGAGUGGCCCUUCAGAGCUUCCCUGAAUCCAAACAAGAAGACUGGACCUUUAUAUUCCCAUAGGAACAGGUCACUGCAUGAGGGCUACCUGGGAAAGGGUGUGUGCUCUCAGGCAAAGGAACACUGCAGCUGAGUCCAUUCAAUUCCAAGGACAGCUGAAGUCCUUCAGUCCUGAGGGGGCUCUGAGCAGUGGAUUAGAGCAUUCAUCACAGUUCAUCUAUUUUACCCUCAGAGACACUUCUUGGUUUGAGGAACAGCUCCUCCAGGAUUCUGGAGGGGGCCCUUUCCCUGGGGAAAACAUUAAAGAGGAAGGUCAGGAGACAAAUUAGAGCCCCGACUGCUGCAGCCAGGCCUCAGCUGAUACUCAGUAUUCUCCUCCUCAGGCCUACAUUUCUCUCACUUCUGGUCUCAGUAGCUUAUUUGGUGGCAUGAUGCAGACCCUCAUGUGCAGGUCUGAGCCCCUGGUUUCCAGGCCCUUUUCAGACUGUGGCUGCUGAACUCGUCCUUGUACCAUCAGAACUGGGGAAGAGAAUACCCAAAAUUGGGCAAGAGGCACCCAAACAGACCAUGUGGAAACCAAACACUCCACCUUGCCUCCCACUCUGUAAUAGGAGCCCAUCCCCCUCCUAAAGAUGACUCCUCUCUUAGCUGCAGUCUCAGUGGAAGUGCCCAGGCAGCAACUGUAGCUAAUGUUUCAGUGGGACUCCUGCUAGGUCCUCUGGUGAAAGCAUUCCCCCUUUUGGAAAUGGGAUCUGUAAACCUGGAGAACCCAGAGUGGCAGGACAGGAAGAACAAUUUCCCAGGUGGGUCCCUGGGAGUGAUGUAAGUGGAGAAACCCCAGUCUCCACCCUGUGUCAUCUACUUAUUGGGAACCCAGCAUCACAGAAGUCAUUGACUUGGUGGGGCACAGUGGCUCAUGCCUUUAAUCUCAAUACUUUGAGAGGCCAAGGCAGGUAGAUGGCUUGAGGCCAGGAGUUCAAGACAAGCCCUAGCAGCAUAGUGAAACCCCCAUCUCUACAAAAAAA
This 2761-nucleotide long non-coding RNA is filed under the name Homo sapiens (human). RNAcentral's name for it is "non-protein coding lnc-KIN-12:1". The record is from RNAcentral. Lineage: Eukaryota; Metazoa; Chordata; Mammalia; Primates; Hominidae.